Molecule: small nuclear RNA, 103 nt
Organism: Gracilinanus agilis (Agile Gracile Mouse Opossum)
Lineage: Eukaryota; Metazoa; Chordata; Mammalia; Didelphimorphia; Didelphidae
Source: RefSeq, a predicted model, not a curated record
AUACUUUGGUAGAAUAUGUACUAAAAUUGGAAUGAUACAGAGAAAUUAAUAUGGUUCCUGCACAAAGAUGACAUGCCAAAUUCAUGAAGCUUUCCAUUUUAUA